GUGAGGCUCAGUGUGGGGUGGGGGUGCCGUCACCUGCCUGACCACCCACUCACCCUGGCCUGACUCUCAG
Molecule: microRNA precursor, 70 nt
Filed under: Microtus ochrogaster (prairie vole)
Lineage: Eukaryota; Metazoa; Chordata; Mammalia; Rodentia; Cricetidae
Description: miRNA (ENSMOCG00000007427.1)
Source: RNAcentral